GUCGAGAAUCUUUCACAAUGGGGGCAACCCUGAUGGAGCGACGCCGCGUGGAGGAUAAGGUCUUCGGAUUGUAAACUCCUGUCAUGCGUGAACAAGGUUGCUUGGUUAAUACCUGGGCAAAUUGAUGGUAACGCAAGAGGAAGAGACGGCUAACUCUGUGCCAGCAGCCGCGGUAAUACAGAGGUCUCAAGCGUUGUUCGGAAUCACUGGGCGUAAAGGGUGCGUAGGUGGCGUGGCAAGUCAGAUGUGAAAGCCCGGGGCUCAACCUCGGAACUGCAUCCGAUACUGCCAUGCUAGAGUACUGGAGAGGUGACUAGAAUUCUCGGUGUAGCAGUGAAAUGCGUAGAUAUCGAGAGGAAUACCAAAGGCGUAGGCAGGUCACUGGACAGUUACUGACACUGAGGCACGAAGGCCAGGGGAGCGAACGGGAUUAGAAACCCCAGUAGUCC
Molecule: ribosomal RNA, 449 nt
Filed under: uncultured bacterium
Lineage: Bacteria
Description: partial 16S ribosomal RNA
Rfam family: Bacterial small subunit ribosomal RNA
Source: RNAcentral